UGGAGGUCAACUUUUGGUUCACCCUAGCACUUUAUACUGUGAAACUGCGAAUGGCUCAUUAAAUCAGUUAUCGUUUAUUUGAUAGUACCUUACUACAUGGAUACCUGUGGUAAUUCUAGAGCUAAUACAUGCUAAAAACCCCGACUUCAGGAAGGGGUGUAUUUAUUAGAUAAAAAACCAACGCCCUUCGGGGCUCCUUGGUGAAUCAUAAUAACUUAACGAAUCGCAUGGCCCUUGCGCCGGCGAUGGUUCAUUCAAAUUUCUGCCCUAUCAACUUUCGAUGGUAGGAUAGUGGCCUACCAUGGUGGCAACGGGUAACGGGGAAUUAGGGUUCGAUUCCGGAGAGGGAGCCUGAGAAACGGCUACCACAUCCAAGGAAGGCAGCAGGCGCGCAAAUUACCCAAUCCCGAUACGGGGAGGUAGUGACAAUAAAUACUGAUACGGGGCUCUUUUGGGUCUCGUAAUUGGAAUGAGAACAAUUUAAAUCCCUUAACGAGGAACAAUUGGAGGGCAAGUCUGGUGCCAGCAGCCGCGGUAAUUCCAGCUCCAAUAGCGUAUAUUAAAGUUGUUGCAGUUAAAAAGCUCGUAGUUGAACCUUGGGUCUGGCUGGCCGGUCCGCCUCACCGCGAGUACUGUCCGGCUGGACCUUUCCUUCUGGGGAACCUCAUGGCCUUCACUGGCUGUGGGGGGAACCAGGACUUUUACUGUGAAAAAAAUUAGAGUGUUCAAAGCAGGCCUUUGCUCGAAUACAUUAGCAUGGAAUAAUAGAAUAGGACGUGCGGUUCUAUUUUUGUUGGUUUCUAGGACCGCCGUAAUGAUUAAUAGGGAUAGUCGGGGGCGUCAGUAUUCAGCUGUCAGAGGUGAAAUUCUUGGAUUUGCUGAAGACUAACUACUGCGAAAGCAUUCGCCAAGGGAUGUUUUCAUUAAUCAGGGAACGAAAGUUAGGGGAUCGAAGACGAUCAGAUACCGUCGUAGUCUUAACCAUAAACUUAUGCCGACUAGGGAUCGGACGGGAUUCUAUGAUGACCCGUUCGGCACCUUACGAGAAAUCAAAGUUUGGCUCUGGAAGAGUAGAAACGGCAAUG
Molecule: ribosomal RNA, 1085 nt
Filed under: Penicillium sp. KJT-D
Lineage: Eukaryota; Fungi; Ascomycota; Eurotiomycetes; Eurotiales; Aspergillaceae
Description: SSU rRNA
Rfam family: Eukaryotic small subunit ribosomal RNA
Source: RNAcentral